Molecule: ribosomal RNA, 89 nt
Filed under: Methylobacterium goesingense
Lineage: Bacteria; Pseudomonadati; Pseudomonadota; Alphaproteobacteria; Hyphomicrobiales; Methylobacteriaceae
Also listed under: 2 other names
Source: RNAcentral
AGAACCCGAUCCCAUCUCGAACUCGGCCGUUAAACGCACCAGCGCCCAUGGUACUGUGUCUCAAGACACGGGAGAGUCGGUCGCCGCCA